AUUAAAGAAUUUCGGUUAUCGAUGGGGAUGCGUUCCAUUAGUUUGUUGGCGGGGUAACGGCCCACCAAGACUACGAUGGAUAGGGGUUCUGAGAGGAAGGUCCCCCACAUUGGAACUGAGACACGGUCCAAACUCCUACGGGAGGCAGCAGUGAGGAAUAUUGGUCAAUGGACGAGAGUCUGAACCAGCCAAGUAGCGUGAAGGAUGACUGCCCUAUGGGUCGUAAACUUCUUUUAUAUGGGAAUAAAGUAUUCCACGUGUGGAAUUUUGUAUGUACCAUAUGAAUAAGGAUCGGCUAACUCCGUGCCAGCAGCCGCGGUAAUACGGAGGAUCCGAGCGUUAUCCGGAUUUAUUGGGUUUAAAGGGAGCGUAGGUGGAUUGUUAAGUCAGUUGUGAAAGUUUGCGGCUCAACCGUAAAAUUGCAGUUGAAACUGGGAGUCUUGAGUACAGUAGAGGUGGGCGGAAUUCGUGGUUAGC
Molecule: ribosomal RNA, 477 nt
Filed under: Bacteroides sp.
Lineage: Bacteria; Pseudomonadati; Bacteroidota; Bacteroidia; Bacteroidales; Bacteroidaceae
Description: bacterial SSU rRNA
Rfam family: Bacterial small subunit ribosomal RNA
Source: RNAcentral